GAUGAACGCUGGCGGCGUGCCUAAUACAUGCAAGUCGAGCGAACGGACGAGAAGCUUGCUUCUCUGAUGUUAGCGGCGGACGGGUGAGUAACACGUGGAUAACCUACCUAUAAGACUGGGAUAACUUCGGGAAACCGGAGCUAAUACCGGAUGAUAUUUUGAACCGCAUGGUUCAAAAGUGAAAGACGGUCUUGCUGUCACUUAUAGAUGGAUCCGCGCUGCAUUAGCUAGUUGGUAAGGUAACGGCUUACCAAGGCAACGAUGCAUAGCCGACCUGAGAGGGUGAUCGGCCACACUGGAACUGAGACACGGUCCAGACUACUACGGGAGGCAGCAGUAGGGAAUCUUCCGCAAUGGGCGAAAGCCUGACGGAGCAACGCCGCGUGAGUGGUGAAGGUCUUCGGAUCGUAAAACUCUGUUAUUAGGGAAGAACAUAUGUGUAAGUAACUGUGCACAUCGUGACGGUACCUAAUCAGAAAGCCACGGCUAACUACGUG
This 497-nucleotide ribosomal RNA is filed under the name uncultured bacterium. RNAcentral's name for it is "partial 16S ribosomal RNA". It matches the Rfam family "Bacterial small subunit ribosomal RNA", at positions 28 to 507 of the family's 1533-position model. The record is from RNAcentral.